Thunnus maccoyii (southern bluefin tuna) is the source of this 2439-nucleotide long non-coding RNA. RefSeq lists it as uncharacterized. The record is from RefSeq and is a predicted model, not a curated record. NCBI's taxonomy places the organism in Eukaryota, Metazoa, Chordata, Actinopteri, Scombriformes, Scombridae. The transcript has 5 exons.
GAAAAAAACAACAACAAGUAGUGUGAAAGGGGAAUGUCGUUACUUUAUUAUUAUAAAUAGACAUUACUUUGCUAGUGUUCAGUUGUAGAGUAAUCAGCUGAGUUUAGCAAAUUGUACAACAUCAAUUGUUUUGGGCCAUAAAGCCCAGCUGUUAUUUUGGAGGACUGCAGGCGGCCUCUGUGCUGGGAGGUAUUGCGCAAUACCCGGAAGAACGCAUCGUCUCAAACUGUCAACAGAGCUGUCUGUGUGCUCGUGACCUUGCGAGUUCAUUCCAUGGAUGUAUUAUAAGAGCUCUUAUUGUACAUCCAUGGUUCAUUCUUCCAAGAACGACUAGCAAGAACAUUCUCCCCAAAGACACAAGUCCAUUCUUUGCGUUGAGAAAGGCCCUUCUAAUAUACAUCCAUACUUUUUAUAGCCAGGUAUCCCAGAAUGCAUUUCUCACACAUCGGCGGCAAUGGCGGAGGAAAUCAAAACGUACGACUGGACAACUGAGGAAACCCGGGCCCUCAUUGAGUUGAGGGCUGCCAAUGAGAGGGUUUUUACGAGCAGGCAGAAUUCCUUAGUCUGGAUGGGAAAGAGUAUUGAUUUUGAGUGCUUGUAUCAUUUCCUGUAUGUCUAGUGUCCAUUCAUAAUGAUUAAUAUCUUAUAGAAGUGGCAGUGUGUCACUCUUUGUUUAUGUUUUUGUUUUUCCCAGGGACUUUGUCACCACUUCUGGCCUGGCAACAACUGCCAAACAGGCCAAAAAGAAGUAGAACAAUUUAAAAGACAAAUACAAGGGAUCCACCAGCAGGCCCUCAGACCUGCAGCGUGGCGACGGCACCAUGCCAGUCUGUGCCGGGCUCCCACCACAGCCUCAUCCAAAACGCUUAAUCAAAAGGGACACUCUCUCCACUUGGUCCCGCAUGAAAAGGAAGCUGUUGGCCCAUGCUGUGUACCUUGGCAGCUAGACAGAGAAUAACCCAGAUUGGUCUACUAUCCACUACGCUGCGAGGAUAGUGGAGAGAAGGCCUGCGAUACAAUCUGCAUUUUCUAGCAGGUGCCAUUUCUAAGGAAACUGCUCAACAAGGCGUCUGAGGCUGUGAUGAAGCAUAAACCUCCAGCCUGCGGGAACAAGUCACCAUAUCAGAGACGAAUGGAAAAAUGAGUCCGUGGAAGUUCUGCGGAGCAGCGGAUGUAUGGCUUGUUCUUUUCCCAAGGUGGGAACGCCUGCAACCCCGAGUCCCUGAUCCCUGUUUUCAGACCCCGUUUCAAAGCCCAGCGGUCUGCUGCUCCCCUCCCCCGCUCACUGCGGGCUGCGUCAAUCGCAACAAAAUAACACCGGAAAUGAGCUUUUCCUCCAAAAUACAGGUUCUGCAUGUCUCAGUCCUAGAUUGUGGUAGAUGAGUGGUAGAGUGGUAGAUGUUCCUAUUCGUUUGGUUGGUGAAUCUCGAGUCUUCUUCACAGCUAUAUGCUGAUUUUAUACAAAAUAAGAUGACAUUUUAUCCCGUGGAAUUUGGUCAUUUUAGCAACACACAGUAGAUAAAACCUGAUAAAAGAAGUUGAAAUUGAUGAAUUAUGUCAGAAACAGAAUCAAGUUUGCACAUACAAGGAGUUUGCCUUGUUGUUUUGGUGUAUAACAGCCAAAAAAAAAUAGACAAAAUUAAGUAGUCCUAAACAAUAUAAAAAGGAAGAAAUGUACAAUAAAAAAAAUUGUAAGAAAUAUUCUGAGUAACAAGAGCUGCUAUUGUAAAGUGAACAGAAUGAAAAGAAAUGUACAAAACAUUGACCAGGAGUAAACAGUGUAUGCAGUGUGUAUAAUAAAAAUAGUAAUAAUAAUAAUAAUAAUAAUAAUAAUAAUAAUAAUAAUAAUACAAUUUGCAUUAAUGCAAAGUGCCAUGUUUGAUCAAAGAUCACAGAUGUGUAAAUAUAAGAUUAUGUGCUAUAAAUUGCAUAACACAUUGCAUGUAAAGUAUAGAAAAACAGUAUUAAAAGGCUUGUAAAAUAUAUCAGCAGGAUAAAAAAAAAAAAGAAUAAAAAUAGAUAUAAUUUAUAAUAAAUUAUACAAAUGUCAAUAUAUGUCUGUAUAAUAUGCAUAAUUUCAAGUAACAUAUGACAGAUGACAUGAAAUACGAGGACCUGCAAAAUAAUGUAAAUUCCUUCUGGAAAAUGUGCAAAUAUAAGAAAACAGUUACAUGAAUGAAUUAAGCGUUCUUGCUUUUAUUGUUUUUAUCAUUUGUUUUUUGUACUGUUGCUUGUUUACUCUGUAAAACACUUUGGGUAUGAAAUGUGCCUUAGAAAUAAAUUUGCCUUGUCUUGUAGUAUUUUGUAUUAUGGACAUAUUGUACACAGUCUGUAUAUAAACAUGUCUAACUUAACACAGAUUUUGUUAUUUUUAUCUGUAGUAUUAGUCCAGACUGUUGAAUAGUUUUAUUUCUCACAGGUUGUUCUUCAGUAAGCCAU